RNAcentral lists this ribosomal RNA (497 nucleotides) under uncultured bacterium. Its description in RNAcentral is "partial 16S ribosomal RNA". It matches the Rfam family "Bacterial small subunit ribosomal RNA", at positions 28 to 507 of the family's 1533-position model. The record is from RNAcentral.
GAUGAACGCUGGCGGCGUGCCUAAUACAUGCAAGUCGAGCGAACAGAUAAGGAGCUUGCUCCUUUGACGUUAGCGGCGGACGGGUGAGUAACACGUGGGUAACCUACCUAUAAGACUGGAAUAACUCCGGGAAACCGGGGCUAAUGCCGGAUAACAUUUAGAACCGCAUGGUUCUAAAGUGAAAGAUGGUUGUGCUAUCACUUAUAGAUGGACCCGCGCCGUAUUAGCUAGUUGGUAAGGUAACGGCUUACCAAGGCAACGAUACGUAGCCGACCUGAGAGGGUGAUCGGCCACACUGGAACUGAGACACGGUCCAGACUCCUACGGGAGGCAGCAGUAGGGAAUCUUCCGCAAUGGUCGAAAGCCUGACGCAGCAACGCCGCGUGAGUUAUGACGGUCUUCGGAUCGUAAAACUCUGUUAUUAGUGAAGAACAAAUGUGUAAGUAACUGUGCACGUCUUGACGGUACCUAAUCAGAAAGCCACGGCUAACUACGUG